AACGCACAUUGCGCCCUUUGGUAUUCCUUAGGGCAUGCCUGUUCGAGCGUCAUUUAAACCUUCAAGCUCAGCUUGGUGAUGGGUGACUGUCCUCCCCUCGCGGGUGGACUCGCCUCAAAAACAUUGGCGGCCGGUACAUUGGCUUCGAGCGCAGCAGAAACGCGGUCUCGAGCCCGGUGGAUCGGCUCCCAUAAGCCUAUUCUUUUAUUUUGACCUCGGAUCAGGUAGGGAUACCCGCUGAACUUAA
This 247-nucleotide unclassified non-coding RNA is filed under the name uncultured Preussia. RNAcentral's name for it is "sequence contains ITS2". The record is from RNAcentral. Lineage: Eukaryota; Fungi; Ascomycota; Dothideomycetes; Pleosporales; Sporormiaceae.